RNAcentral lists this ribosomal RNA (521 nucleotides) under uncultured bacterium. RNAcentral's name for it is "bacterial SSU rRNA". It matches the Rfam family "Bacterial small subunit ribosomal RNA", at positions 26 to 518 of the family's 1533-position model. The record is from RNAcentral.
AGGACGAACGCUGGCGGCGUGCCUAAUACAUGCAAGUCGAACGGUCUUUCUAUGGAAGCUUGCUUCCACUGAGAAGAUAGUGGCGAACGGGUGAGUAACACGUGGGUAACCUGCCCAUAAGAGGGGGAUAACCAUCCGGAAACGGGUGCUAAUACCGCAUAGUUUUCUUGAUCGCAUGAUCGGGAAAGGAAAGACGGCCUUUGUGCUGUCGCUUAUGGAUGGACCCGCGGCGUAUUAGUUAGUUGGUGAGGUAAUGGCUCACCAAGACGAUGAUACGUAGCCGACCUGAGAGGGUGAUCGGCCACAUUGGGACUGAGACACGGCCCAAACUCCUACGGGAGGCAGCAGUAGGGAAUCUUCCGCAAUGGACGAAAGUCUGACGGAGCAACGCCGCGUGAGUGAAGAAAAGGUUUUCGGAUCGUAAAACUCUGUUGUCAGAGAAGAACAAGUUGGAGAGUAACUGCUCCAGCCUUGACGGUAUCUGACCAGAAAGCCACGGCUAACUACGUGCCAGCCGCCGC